GUGGGGGAUAUAGCUCAGUUGGUAGAGUGCUUGCCUUGCAUGUACAAAGCCCUGGGUUUAAUACCCAGCACCACA
This 75-nucleotide transfer RNA is filed under the name Marmota monax (woodchuck). Its description in RNAcentral is "tRNA.Ala". Lineage: Eukaryota; Metazoa; Chordata; Mammalia; Rodentia; Sciuridae. The record is from RNAcentral.